GUUGCGUACACUGCGCAUGGCUGGCUAUUUCCUAAUGGACAGACACUUGCUGGCUGCCUUAGCGAAGUGCAGAAAAGAUGGCGCCGGACAGUGUUCUGCGUAGUGACCGCGUAGUGACCGCGCAGCGACGCACAGCAUCCGUCUUAUAAGAAAGCUAAGUAAAGGUGGAAUACUCGAUUAUAUGGAGAGUAUCUUCAUUUAUAAUAUUCAUUUCAAGAUAUUCCUCAGUGCCGCCCGAAAUGUGGAUGCUCAUAGUCUCGCUCUACCGACCGCCGCGUAUGUGCAUUGUGAUUGCUGGUGCCGUGGGCUCUGAAUGCUGCCACGACGGAUUCAAGUUUUUGUACAGCAUGCGCAUCAUGGUGGAGCAAGUCGGGCUGACCACCUGUGCAGCAUGGCAAAGCCAAGUUGAGCAGUCCUGCAAGCGCACCCUGGCAGUGCCAAGUUGGUCAGCCUGGUGCGUGCAUCCUGGCGGAGUGGGUCAGCCUGUGGAAUAAGUCCAGCACCAGCCAAACCAGACCCAAGGAGGAAGCAGCCCGGUGCCAGCCAAGUAGACCGGAGGAGGAAUCACCCCGGCGCCAACCCAGACCGGAGGAGGAAGCCCGGCCCGCCCCAUGUGCUAGUCCAGAGGAAGUCCAUCAACCCUUAAAAUUCAUCAAAGGGGGUGUGGCUACCAGCAUGGUUCUAUGGCUGAUCCAGGUACCCAGUUUCCAACUCCCCCACCCUUAGCUGCCAUAACUCAAAAUAUUUCCCACAAGCUUUUGGGGGUUGUAGCUAUCAACACAAAACAACUGUAUAGGCAUCUGGUUUCUACCUCAGAGACUAGAGUAGGGAAGAUACAGGUGGAAGCUCAUUUCCUUUCACACUGGCUAUACCCACCACCCUGAAUACAGAGGUUCAAGCUAGGAAUAGACAACGCCACCUACUGGAAGCAAGGAAAACAGUGUUCUGAGAGACUUUUUUUUCUCUUUCUUUCUCUCUUCUCUCUCUUCCACAACUUCAACAUAUGUGAAACCAAGAACUGUGCAUGAACAACCGAAUUACCAAAGUAAUAUAAUAUAGAGGAAUUGCAUAUACCCCACCUUCCCCCCAUUUUUUAUUUAUUUCUAUCUUACUUUCCUUUUCCUUCUCUCUUAUUUCUCUUUUCUUCCUUGUUAUUUUUUCUUUUUUUUUUCAUUCAUAUUCCCUCUAUGCUACUUUCAAUCUCCUAACUUUUGCUAUCUAUACAUAGGGUAACUAUCUAAAUACAGAUAGGAGGUUGAGUCUAUACAUUCUUCCAUAAAUUACCAGUCUAUUGGUUAGAGUUCUCCAAAGGUGCUAAGUUAGUUUAACCUCAUACCCUCACUCCUUUCCCUCUAAGUAUAGCAUCCUUCAUCUAAAAUUAAGUUUUCUAUAUGCCACCAGAUAUGGUAUGCCUUUUAUGAAACUAAUGACUAUAUUCUUAAGUAAGAAUUAAAACCAAUAUCUAUAGACUUAGAAUCUAACUAUAAAUGUAUUAAUAAUGAAAACUUGUGCUUAGAUGAUGUACUGUU
Molecule: long non-coding RNA, 1529 nt
Filed under: Ictidomys tridecemlineatus (thirteen-lined ground squirrel)
Lineage: Eukaryota; Metazoa; Chordata; Mammalia; Rodentia; Sciuridae
Description: lncRNA (ENSSTOG00000033785.1)
Source: RNAcentral